CGAUUGAUACCCUAAACAGAGGAGUCUGUGGUGUUUGUGGCAAAACCAAAGCUUCUUAGAAAGAGAAGAGGAUGACGGAGAUGACCGUGUUCGAGCUUCUCAGAGAGGGGAUGGGAUGAACGAGAAAGAAUGACUCUUCACUUCACAUAGCAAAGGAGAGAAGAGGACAAGCCAAGAGAGGAGCCUCGUAGAGAGAGGGAAGCCUUACAGAGAGAGGGAGGUCACAGAGGAGAGGAAAUGGGAAAGAAGGGUAAAAGGAGAUUUUU
Molecule: long non-coding RNA, 266 nt
Filed under: Amborella trichopoda
Lineage: Eukaryota; Viridiplantae; Streptophyta; Magnoliopsida; Amborellales; Amborellaceae
Description: long non-coding RNA (ATRI_LNC002500)
Source: RNAcentral